CUGGUGCUGGUCGAGCGGUCCGGAUGGCGCUCGGCUUCACUCGCCAUGGCGGCGCUGCUCCUGGUGCUGGCGCUGCCGUUCCUGAUGGCAGCGCCGGCC
Molecule: transfer RNA, 99 nt
Filed under: bacterium YEK0313
Lineage: Bacteria
Description: tRNA-Val
Source: RNAcentral